This 484-nucleotide ribosomal RNA is filed under the name uncultured bacterium. RNAcentral describes it as "bacterial SSU rRNA". It matches the Rfam family "Bacterial small subunit ribosomal RNA", at positions 29 to 507 of the family's 1533-position model. The record is from RNAcentral.
AUUGAACGCUGGCGGAAUGCUUUACACAUGCAAGUCGAGCGGCAGCGCAGGGGCAACCCUGGCGGCGAGCGGCGAACGGGUGAGUAACAUAUCGGAACGUACCCCGUCGUGGGGGAUAACUAUCCGAAAGGAUAGCUAAUACCGCAUACGACCUGAGGGUGAAAGCGGGGGACCGUAAGGCCUCGCGCGAUGGGAGCGGCCGAUAUCGGAUUAGCUAGUUGGUGAGGUAAAGGCUCACCAAGGCGACGAUCCGUAGCUGGUCUGAGAGGACGACCAGCCACACUGGAACUGAGACACGGUCCAGACUCCUACGGGAGGCAGCAGUGGGGAAUUUUGGACAAUGGGGGCAACCCUGAUCCAGCCAUUCCGCGUGAGUGAAGAAGGCCUUCGGGUUGUAAAGCUCUUUCAGCAGGAACGAAACGGUGGUCCCUAAUACGGGCUACUAAUGACGGUACCUGAAGAAGAAGCACCGGCUAACUACGUG